This is a long non-coding RNA of Crotalus tigris (Tiger rattlesnake), 5899 nucleotides long. RefSeq lists it as uncharacterized. NCBI's taxonomy places the organism in Eukaryota, Metazoa, Chordata, Lepidosauria, Squamata, Viperidae. The transcript has 4 exons. The record is from RefSeq and is a predicted model, not a curated record.
ACUCCCAGAAACACCAGCAAAUAUCUCUAAAGUCCAGAUAUUCAAAUCUGAGCAGGAAUGGAAAAAACAAUCGAGUGAAUUUUAGAAGCAUGUAAAUAGAUAUUCACCUAUAGACCAGAUACUACAGUAUCACCUUGAUGGAACAUUACUAUUGACAAAUAUAAAUCAAGGUCUGCCAAAAGCACAUCACAGGCAUUCUAGAAACAGAGAUCUGAAACAUAUUAAAGUGCCAUUUUUGUAUGCCACUCUUGAAGACUUUAAGACUAAUGGACAGCAAUGCAAGCAAAGAGGCCUCCGUAAUCAAGCAGGAGGAUAGAUCAUUUUAGGAGCCUGUGGGAUAUUAUGGGCCUUUUAUUCCCCUCUUGUCACAAGCACAAGCUCUCAAACAAAAAAAUAAAAAUAAAAGUGAGUGAGACAGCGGCAUGAUUUUGAGGAGCAAUUGUAUGCACUCUCUAGUACUAGAGAAACUCAAUUUUAAUUUAUAAUUUAUGUAUAUAUAGAAAUCAGAGAUAUCUGAGGCAGUCCUCUUGUAGCCAUAUGAAUAAUAUCCUUUAAAAAGUAAGCUUAUUCUCAGCAGAAAGCUUUAAAAUAUAUUCGAGGAGAAGAGACUUUGAGAUCAUCACAGAUCAUCCACCUUCAGUGUGAUAGGAAAAAAUAAAGUUACCUUCACAAACUAUCAUAUAAGUAUCUCACUUGCAAUCUUUUAAUUUGAUCGUUAUCUACACCUUGCUUUAUUGUUGGUCACACAGUCAGCCAGAUAUUUAGGCUAGAAUUGUCAUUUUUAUGAGUCCUUCUCAAGGACCUGGGAUAGGCAGAUAAAAUUUUGAUGGUGUGAAAGGAAUCACUGAAGAAUGUAAACUGUUUCAAUAAAGCUAUCUUUUGCAUUGACUGAUGAUGAUUUUGUCAGUUGCCAAUAGUAUUCAAGUGAUUAUUAUUGCUAUUUUAAAUUUACUGGCCACGCAACUCCAGUGCACUCUGGGUGUAAGUCUUAUUACAAUAAACAUUAUAUGGGGCUGCUAUUAAAAAUGUCUAGAAGUUCCAAUUGGUGCAAAAUACUGCUGCUAGAUUAUUCACCAGUGGAAGAUACAGGUACAGUACGAUAUCAACACUGAAAGAUUAGGCUGCUCUUGGGCACCAUUCCAGAUGUUGGCAAUAAUUUUAAAGCCCUAAACAGUUACUUAAGGACCUCCUUUUUCCUCAAAUGUUUCUUCAGGCAUUCAGAUUUGCAGAAGAGGCACUUUGGAAGAUACCCUUGCUGUCAUAGCUUCGGCUGUCUAAGAUACAGUAGAGGGUCUUCCCUUGUGCUGUCUUCCCUUGAGAAUUACAGCAGUCAUCUCAACACUCAUUUUUCCUAUAGAACAUUAACUAAAAUGCAGCUUUUUCACAAGGAGUUUAAUUUCUAAGUAAUGUUGCUGUUGAUUUUUAACUGUAUUUGAAUUUUGAUUUUGCAUUUUAUUGAUUGCGUCAGUUGUGAGUAUUUCAGUUGAAUAGAAAGACGAGAUAUAAAUCAAGUAAAUGAUUCUUGUAAGGAAAGAUCAGCAUAUGAAUAAAAUAAAGGCAUUCUGAGAUAUGCCAUAUGUUGUUAGAAAAUUGAACUCUGGAGAAUGGGAGAUGCUGUAUGGAUAAGAACCAUGGAAAGCUUAAGGACAAAGUAAUAAUUUAUAAAGAGAGCAAUACAUAAUGUACACUCACUUGCCUAUGUAUGUGCUCCACAGUGGAAUUAUUUAAAAUUUGGUACUGAAGAAGAAAUCCUGGCUCUGAGUAACUCAUGCAUGACCAUGCUUUUUUCCAACUGCAAAGAUACCAAUAACCUCAAAUAUGGAUGUCUUUAUUAAAAGCUGGAUCCAUAAACUCACACAUACAUAAGACAAUCUGUGGAAGAUAUUUUCUCCUACAGUAAUCAGCAGAAGCCAGAAGCAUCAUUUAGUCAUGUAGCUUGUGUACCAGUGAUAAUGUAUAGCCAUUCAAACUAACAUGUGUCCCCCAUGCAUUUGUCUAAUUUGCUUAGAAGGCAUCCAAUAUAUCCGGAGUUCCAAGAGAGGGAGUAAAAAAGUCAAUAUAGUAGCCAUAACCACAUGAGCCAAACUCUGACCCCCGCAAAGAUUCUUGGAGUCCGUAUUGGACACUACUAAUUAUUGAAAUUUUUCAGCAUUUUAAGAUGGAGUUUUGAAUGUCUAAAUCCUAAACAAAAUAGUCCCAGACUUUUCACUGACAUUUAUCAGAAGCAACCAAGUUUAAAAAUUGAUAUGCCUGGUAACCAUACAGGUUAUUCAUGCAUAUUGAUAAAGGAAGAGAUUCAAACUAUUAGCUUCAUAUGAUGGAAUGUGGGAAUUUUCUUAGAUGCUAGUAUUUGGCAGGACUGCAGAUAAAAUGAAAAGUAUCUUGCAGGUAGAAAAUACAACUAGCUUUCCCAUUUAUCUUUUGCUUUUUAAAACUAGUAAUGAAUCAGAUCACAGAUGCUAUAAAUAUAUGGCCAGGCAAUUUUUGAUUAAGCUCAAUGUACCAAAGGAAAAAAAAAUCCCUUGCACCAGCAUUCAGGAUGCUAGUAAUAAUCAAAUACAAGAAUCAAGGCAAUUCAUUCUCAGAUAUAUUUUAUAAAUCACCAUCCUGUCUUCCAUCUUUGGUUUGUUUUGACUGUUAAAGGAUAACUGAGAGAAUAACAUUCCUUAAGCUUCUAUCCUUAAGCAUUCCUGAUAAAAGGAAGACAAAUUGAGUAUUAUGGGAAUUGUGAUUUUAUGGGUAUGUGGGCUGGGGAGAGAGAUUUUUUUUUUUUGGGAGGGAAGGGGAAAAUCCACAUUGCUGGCCAACUUUCAACUUUAUACCUUGGCAGGCAGUAUGAUUGCAACCAUCAGAGGAAGAACAUGUAUGAAAACUCGAGAAAUAAUUUCCCAAGCAAAAUACUGUAUAUGCUUGAAUUGAGCCACAGAGCAGGAAAUGUAUUCAGUACUCUUGGAUUCCUCUGCUGAGAAAAAUGCCUGCAGUCCCAAGAGUUAUUAUGGAAACAGCUGCCAAGACAUCACCCUAAAGAGUCAAUUGCUGGAACUUUAGAUUACUGAGGAUGGUAAGGGGAACUGCUAUAAACCAUCUGUAACAGUGACCUAUUAUUACGACAUGAAGCUAAGAAAAUACAGUUUAAUAAGCUCACAUUCAGGCUUGACUCAGACAGAUAUAUAUGGUGAUUUUCUUUGAACAGAUGAGAUGUGAAGUAUCAGUGGAAUCUCUGAGAUGACUAGCUGGAAUUCAUUUGCUUCUAAAUGUGGACAAAACAACAGGGAAGAGAGCUAGAGUGAUCAUUGUCAUUGCCAAAUCUUGAUGUGUGUGAUAACCUACAUAAAAAAGCAGAAAUGGAUAUUUAAUCAACAAACAUCUCUUUUAAGAUUGCUGACCAGUACUUGGUUUUGUGAGAAGAUUACAAGGCUCAGACAAAUACACGAGUCCGCACGCACGCAUGCACACACACACACACACACACACACACACAUUGAUAAAUCAGUUGAAAUAAAAUUGAUCAAACACAAACACAAACCAGUGGUAGAAUAAUAAAAUAUACAAUACUUAAAAGUAAAUAAAAUUUAAAACUAUUUUGGGAAUAAAAUAUUACGUGAUUAAUGAAUGAAGUACUUUAUUAUUGCAAUAGAAACUACAUAGAAAGGUCUUGAUAAACUACUGAAAUGUAAACAUUUUAGGAUGUGAUUCUGUGAUCCAUUCAUAAAUCACUUUGUGAUAGUAAAGUCAGAACCAAUAUUUAAAUUUCAUGCAAUCAGUAUAAUUUACUACAUCCAAUAAUCCUUAUUUUACCAAAUAUUGAGUUUACUAAAUAUAACAAGGUUGUGGUUUGUUCUCUAGUAGAAUAAAACUUGCUUCUUGCUACAUGAUUUUAAACUAUAUCUGCAAACAGAUAUUUUAACUUUUAAUUCAGAGUGAUCAGGAGUUUGUACUCUCUGAGUUCUACAAAUAUCCCAAUGCAAUUAACAGUCCUGAAGGAUAUGAACCUGGUAUCUAAUACACACUCAGAAAAAUUGAAAUAAAAAUCCAGUGUCUUAUUUCUUCCAACCCUAUUGAGCCUCUGCUUUGAUGGCCUUGAAGAAAAUAAUAGUAAGGAAAUAAUAAUUGGCAGCUUUAUUUGGAACAGCUUAUAAUUUGCGCCAAUACCUUUAACACCAUCAAACAAUAAUAUCUGCCUAUCCCAGGUACCUUGGGAAGGUGGGUAAAAGUGCCAAAUCCAGUCUAAACAUUUGGAUGACUGUGUGACAAACCAUAAUAACCAUGAUAAUAAAAGUAAUAGAAAAUGAAGUACUUAAAAUGGUCUGUGACAUCAAUUCAAACCAACAGCACCUGCCACAUAACACCCCAGACUUAACAAUUGUUGAUAAGAAAAAUAAAAAAGUCUGGAUGGUAGAUGUGGCAGGACUUGGAGACAGCAGAAUAGAAAAGAAAGAACUGGAGAAGAUAAUACAAAGACCUGCAAGUAGAAAUAGAAUGACUGUGGCAAAAGAAAGCAAAGGUAGUACCAAUACUAAGAGCUGCCUUGAGUGCAUUCCCAAAACAAUUGGAGCACCACUUGAACACCAUUGGCAUUAAUAAAAAUCACCAUCAGUCAAUUGCAAAAGACAGCUUUGUUUGGAAUAACUUACACCGUGCCAUGAUAUCUUUAAGCCCAUCAAACAUCCACAUCUUCGGUCCUUGGGAAGGACUCGAGAGGUGGACAAAAAUGCCACAUUAUAUAUUGUGUAUGUGUCUCUCUGUGUGAGUGAGUGUAUGUGUAUACACAUAUAUUAUACAUAUAUAUUCCUCAUAAAAGUCAAAAAGGAAAAGAUGGUACAUUUAUUAGUGUAUAAAUACACAGUUGAAGAAAGGGAGAAAAACAUCAACUCUCAAUGUACAUUUUGUUAGAUGAAAUAUUAGUGGAUCAAUCUCAUUUUCUGAGUCUGAUAUUACUGUCAGCAGUUCUGCUCCUUUAUUUUUCAGUAUUUUAUGCUUUUCAUGGGCUUUUGAAAAGUGCAACUAUAAGUUUUGUCUAUAUUGAACCAAACUUUUCUAUCAUUUUACAUGCUCAUUUAUUUCUUGAUUUCAUUUGAACCAUUUGUAACCAUUCUUGGUAUCAUUUACACCAGUCUUUUUCAACCUCAACAACUUUAAGAGGUAUGGAUUUCAAUUCCCAGAAUUCCAAUGCUGGCUGUUGUUUGACCAAGGCCAGACACAUGGUUCCAUAUUAGAGAACACGACUUCCAGGUAUUGUAGGUUCAGUUCAAAGUUGUGUAUGGUGGUUCCGCACAUUUUAUUUAGAUUAAAUUAGAUUAAACUAAUUUUGAAGUAGAAAGGCUCACUUAAUAUUUUUUUUUACAGAAAUAGCUGUAUUCAAUGUUGUAGUUUUAAAUAUUUUAUUGCAAUGUAAUGGGAGAAACUUCAACAUCAAAACCAUGGAAGUUUGGAUUUUUUACUUCCAUCAUGUACUUUAUUUUAGUGGGAGGAAUUAAUUGUCAAAACACAAAAAAUAUAAUAUGCCAUAACCUAUUUUUUUUAAAAAUACAGUUGUAGGCACUACAAGAAAGAGUAAAGGAAUCUUAUUCUGAUAUUGUAUGAAAAGUCUUAUCUGUACAUUUUGUUAUCCUUAAAGAAUAUUUGUAUAUCUGAUUUUGUAAGAGGUCAUAUUUUGGAUGUAGAGAUACUUUGUCACAGUAAAAUGUGAUAUAUUAUACAUAGCAUCAGUAAUGGGUGAAAGUAAAUACAUUUCUGUAAAAAAACAUUUGUCUUCUUUCAGAUUUUACAAACAUUAUACAUCUUUGCUACAGAAUAUCAUAUCUUCAUGUAAAUCUUGGUGAUAUAUGAAUGAACAAAUAACAGUUUUUGUCACCUCUCUAGACUGAAGGCAAAACAAAAAGCAAUAGAUGGAAACUAA